GGGUUGUGAGGUUAAGCGACUAAGCGUACACGGUGGAUGCCCUGGCAGUCAGAGGCGAUGAAGGACGUGCUAAUCUGCGAAAAGCGUCGGUAAGGUGAUAUGAACCGUUACAGCCGGCGAUGUCCGAAUGGGGAAACCCAGUGCAAUUCGUUGCACUAUCGUUAACUGAAUACAUAGGUUAACGAGGCGAACCGGGGGAACUGAAACAUCUAAGUACCCCGAGGAAAAGAAAUCAACCGAGAUUCCCCCAGUAGCGGCGAGCGAACGGGGAGCAGCCCAGAGUCUGAAUCAGCUUGUGUGUUAGUGGAACGGUCUGGAAAGUCCGACGGUACAGGGUGAUAGUCCCGUACACCAAAAUGCACAGGUUGUGAACUCGAAGAGUAGGGCGGGACACGUGGUAUCCUGUCUGAAUAUGGGGGGACCAUCCUCCAAGGCUAAAUACUCCUGACUGACCGAUAGUGAACCAGUACCGUGAGGGAAAGGCGAAAAGAACCCCGGCGAGGGGAGUGAAAAAGAACCUGAAACCGUGUACGUACAAGCAGUGGGAGCACCUUCGGGUGUGACUGCGUACCUUUUGUAUAAUGGGUCAGCGACUUAUAUUCUGUAGCAAGGUUAACCGUAUAGGGGAGCCGCAGGGAAACCGAGUCUUAACUGGGCGUUAAGUUGCAGGGUAUAGACCCGAAACCCGGUGAUCUAGCCAUGGGCAGGUUGAAGGUUGGGUAACACUAACUGGAGGACCGAACCGACUAAUGUUGAAAAAUUAGCGGAUGACUUGUGGCUGGGGGUGAAAGGCCAAUCAAACCGGGAGAUAGCUGGUUCUCCCCGAAAGCUAUUUAGGUAGCGCCUCGUGAACUCAUCUUCGGGGGUAGAGCACUGUUUCGGCUAGGGGGUCAUCCCGACUUACCAACCCGAUGCAAACUACGAAUACCGAAGAAUGUUAUCACGGGAGACACACGGCGGGUGCUAACGUCCGUCGUGAAGAGGGAAACAACCCAGACCGCCAGCUAAGGUCCCAAAGUCAUGGUUAAGUGGGAAACGAUGUGGGAAGGCACAGACAGCCAGGAUGUUGGCUUAGAAGCAGCCAUCAUUUAAAGAAAGCGUAAUAGCUCACUGGUCGAGUCGGCCUGCGCGGAAGAUGUAACGGGGCUAAACCAUGCACCGAAGCUGCGGCAGCGACACUAUGUGUUGUUGGGUAGGGGAGCGUUCUGUAAGCCUGCGAAGGUGUGCUGUGAGGCAUGCUGGAGGUAUCAGAAGUGCGAAUGCUGACAUAAGUAACGAUAAAGCGGGUGAAAAGCCCGCUCGCCGGAAGACCAAGGGUUCCUGUCCAACGUUAAUCGGGGCAGGGUGAGUCGACCCCUAAGGCGAGGCCGAAAGGCGUAGUCGAUGGGAAACAGGUUAAUAUUCCUGUACUUGGUGUUACUGCGAAGGGGGGACGGAGAAGGCUAUGUUAGCCGGGCGACGGUUGUCCCGGUUUAAGCAUGUAGGCUGAUUGUCCAGGCAAAUCCGGAUAAUCAAGGCUGAGGUGUGAUGACGAGGCACUACGGUGCUGAAGUAACAAAUGCCCUGCUUCCAGGAAAAGCCUCUAAGCAUCAGGUAACAUUAAAUCGUACCCCAAACCGACACAGGUGGUCAGGUAGAGAAUACCAAGGCGCUUGAGAGAACUCGGGUGAAGGAACUAGGCAAAAUGGUGCCGUAACUUCGGGAGAAGGCACGCUGGUGUGUAGGUGAAGCCCCUGCGGGUGGAGCUGAGACCAGUCGAAGAUACCAGCUGGCUGCAACUGUUUAUUAAAAACACAGCACUGUGCAAACACGAAAGUGGACGUAUACGGUGUGACGCCUGCCCGGUGCCGGAAGGUUAAUUGAUGGGGUUAUCCGUAAGGAGAAGCUCUUGAUCGAAGCCCCGGUAAACGGCGGCCGUAACUAUAACGGUCCUAAGGUAGCGAAAUUCCUUGUCGGGUAAGUUCCGACCUGCACGAAUGGCGUAAUGAUGGCCAGGCUGUCUCCACCCGAGACUCAGUGAAAUUGAACUCGCUGUGAAGAUGCAGUGUACCCGCGGCAAGACGGAAAGACCCCGUGAACCUUUACUAUAGCUUGACACUGAACAUUGAGCCUUGAUGUGUAGGAUAGGUGGGAGGCUUUGAAGCGUGGACGCCAGUCUGCGUGGAGCCAACCUUGAAAUACCACCCUUUAAUGUUUGAUGUUCUAACGUUGGCCCCUUAUCGGGGUUGCGGACAGUGUCUGGUGGGUAGUUUGACUGGGGCGGUCUCCUCCCAAAGCGUAACGGAGGAGCACGAAGGUUAGCUAAUCCUGGUCGGACAUCAGGAGGUUAGUGCAAUGGCAUAAGCUAGCUUGACUGCGAGCGUGACGGCGCGAGCAGGUGCGAAAGCAGGUCAUAGUGAUCCGGUGGUUCUGAAUGGAAGGGCCAUCGCUCAACGGAUAAAAGGUACUCCGGGGAUAACAGGCUGAUACCGCCCAAGAGUUCAUAUCGACGGCGGUGUUUGGCACCUCGAUGUCGGCUCAUCACAUCCUGGGGCUGAAGUAGGUCCCAAGGGUAUGGCUGUUCGCCAUUUAAAGUGGUACGCGAGCUGGGUUUAGAACGUCGUGAGACAGUUCGGUCCCUAUCUGCCGUGGGCGCUGGAGAAUUGAGGGGGGCUGCUCCUAGUACGAGAGGACCGGAGUGGACGCAUCACUGGUGUUCGGGUUGUCAUGCCAAUGGCACUGCCCGGUAGCUAAAUGCGGAAGAGAUAAGUGCUGAAAGCAUCUAAGCACGAAACUUGCCCCGAGAUGAGUUCUCCCUGAGACUUUAAGUCUCCUGAAGGAACGUUAAAGACGAUGACGUUGAUAGGCCGGGUGUGUAAGCGCAGCGAUGCGUUGAGCUAACCGGUACUAAUGAACCGUGAGGCUUAACCUUACAACGCCGAAG
This 2923-nucleotide ribosomal RNA is filed under the name Klebsiella pneumoniae. Its description in RNAcentral is "23S ribosomal RNA". It matches the Rfam family "Bacterial large subunit ribosomal RNA". Lineage: Bacteria; Pseudomonadati; Pseudomonadota; Gammaproteobacteria; Enterobacterales; Enterobacteriaceae. The record is from RNAcentral.